CUUAUAAAUACGGGGGGUCAAAAACGUUUUAACCUAGAGAAAGGGGGGGGGGGCAAAAAAAGUUUUUGAACUUAAAUACCAUGUCUAGAGUUCUGAUUUCUAUAAAUAGCAUAGACUCACAAAUAGCAUAGACUCACAAAUAGCAUAGACUCACAAAUAGCAUAGACUCACAAAUAAUAAUGCCAAAGAGGUAAAGAAGACUCUGAAUAUGCCAUUUCCAACAAUCUAAAGACUCAAAAUUUUCAACAUUUCCCUGCUCGGCGCCAAUUAUGGUAGCGCCUCGUGGGAGCCGGGCCCACUAAGUUUAAUUAACAAGCUUCCUACCCCCUGAGUGAUCCAGUUGUGGUGUUUACAUAAACAUACCAUGCAAGAAGUACUUAACUGAUUAGAUUCGGUCUAUCAAAGCAGAAUGUAACUCUGUAUAUCCAAAAAUCUGUUUCAGAAAAUGCUCACAUUUCAGUCCUAUGGGUGGAAAAAUACAAAAAAAGUUUCUGGGGGAGAAUACCCCCAGACCCCCCUACUUGUACAUAAGAUACCACACCAAACUUUUGGUCACCAACAACCAUCUGUCAUCUCUCCACACUCAGUAUAGUAUGGUCCUUUUUUGUAGAUGCCCACCCCCCAGACAAGGCGUAAAAAAACCCUGUGUUCAAAUCAUUUCGCUGUAUGAAGACAGGCCAUUAGUCUCCUACGCAUACCUACUUAAUUAGCGGCGGGCCCAAACCCGCUAAAGUAGGUCUGCAUAGGAGACUAACAGUCCAUGGGUUAGGAUUAUGGUAUGAGGACAAAUGUUGCAUUGCAAAGUAGUAAACACA
Paramuricea clavata is the source of this 815-nucleotide non-coding RNA. Lineage: Eukaryota; Metazoa; Cnidaria; Anthozoa; Malacalcyonacea; Plexauridae. The record is from the annotation of a GenBank genome assembly.